AAACCAGCACCUCAAGUGGUCAGGAUGAUUAUUGGGCCUAAAGCAUCCGUAGCCGGCUCUGUAAGUUUUCGGUUAAAUCUGUACGCUCAACGUACAGGCUGCUGGGAAUACUGCAGAGCUAGGGAGUGGGAGAGGUAGACGGUACUCGGGAGGAAGUGGUAAAAUGCUUUGAUCUCUCGAUGACCACCUGUGGCGAAGGCGGUCUACCAGAACACGUCCGACGGUGAGGGAUGAAAGCUGGGGGAGCAAACCGGAUUAGAUACCCGGGUAGUCC
RNAcentral lists this ribosomal RNA (274 nucleotides) under uncultured bacterium. Its description in RNAcentral is "partial 16S ribosomal RNA". It matches the Rfam family "Archaeal small subunit ribosomal RNA", at positions 473 to 747 of the family's 1478-position model. The record is from RNAcentral.